Molecule: ribosomal RNA, 253 nt
Filed under: uncultured bacterium
Lineage: Bacteria
Description: partial 16S ribosomal RNA
Rfam family: Bacterial small subunit ribosomal RNA
Source: RNAcentral
GACGAAGGGGGCUAGCGUUGUUCGGAAUUACUGGGCGUAAAGCGCGUGUAGGCGGUUGCCAUAGUCAGGUGUGAAAGCCUUGAGCUUAACUCAAGAAAUGCACUUGAUACUGGGCGACUAGAGGACCGGAGAGGAUAGUGGAAUUCCCAGUGUAGUGGUGAAAUACGUAGAGAUUGGGAAGAACACCAGUGGCGAAGGCGGCUAUCUGGACGGUUUCUGACGCUAAGACGCGAAAGCGUGGGGAGCAAACAGG